RNAcentral lists this ribosomal RNA (389 nucleotides) under uncultured bacterium. RNAcentral describes it as "bacterial SSU rRNA". It matches the Rfam family "Bacterial small subunit ribosomal RNA", at positions 28 to 419 of the family's 1533-position model. The record is from RNAcentral.
GACGAACGCUGGCGGCGUGCUUAACACAUGCAAGUCGAGCGGUAAGGCCCUUUCGGGGGUACACGAGCGGCGAACGGGUGAGUAACACGUGGGUGACCUGCCCUCAGCUCUGGGAUAAGCCUGGGAAACCGGGUCUAAUACCGGAUAUGACUCCAUGACGCAUGUUGUGGGGUGAAAGCCUUGUGCGGCUGAGGAUGGGCCCGCGGCCUAUCAGCUUGUUGGUGGGGUGANGGCCUACCAAGGCGACGACGGGUAGCCGGCCUGAGAGGGCGACCGGCCACACUGGGACUGAGACACGGCCCAGACUCCUACGGGAGGCAGCAGUGGGGAAUCUUGCGCAAUGGGCGAAAGCCUGACGCAGCGACGCCGCGUGAGGGAUGACGGCCUGG